UCUCUCUCUCUAUGGUCUUCUCCAUGCCCUAGAACCAAGAAAGCUAGGAUUUCUUGGCUGCCACCCAAAAAGGAAAGAAAGGAGAAGCUAGAAACUAGCACCCCCUUUGUGCACGCCCCUAUUUUGAGCGCCCCCUCUUAGCUGCCUAAGAAGAGUUUCAGGUCCUACUUUUUUAUUUUUUGGAGGCUUCAUCAAGAGUUCUUGUAGGUCUCAAAAGGUGGAUUUUAGAUCUGAUGGAGAAGGGGUUCAAAUCAAAGAAGAAAAUCCUACUGAUAGGAUUUACAAGGCUGCUGAUACCACGAAGG
This 305-nucleotide long non-coding RNA is filed under the name Elaeis guineensis (African oil palm). RNAcentral's name for it is "long non-coding RNA (EGUI_LNC068594)". The record is from RNAcentral. Lineage: Eukaryota; Viridiplantae; Streptophyta; Magnoliopsida; Arecales; Arecaceae.